UUAAACAUUUACUUGCUCAUUAGGUCUGACAGGUGACAAAGUUCAAGUCUCUCCACCCAUCAGGUUGCCAGGGAAUAUUACAGUCUCUUAACAGCUCUUUUUAAGUCUGUCAGGAUGAAGACGAGAGAGAAGAACUAUGAGGCAGAUAUUUCUGGACUGAGCUCAGAUAUGAAAACCAAAAACCUCAAUGCAGGUCAAAAUGAGGAUGUCACUGGAAAUUCUGCAUUUUUGCCCUGCUCUUACAGUGAAGUGAAGACAUGACAGUAUAUUGGGACACAAUGACAGGAAUAUAUAAAACAUUAUUCAGAGAAAUGUUUUGUUCUGUCCAGAAUACAACAUUUUUCCAGAAGAGUUUAGGAGGGAAGCUUUAAUUGCAUAUUCACUUGCUGCUUCAUCUGUGUGUUUGCUGUGCUGAUAAACAAAGGUGAGA
Long non-coding RNA from Labeo rohita (rohu), 430 nucleotides. RefSeq lists it as uncharacterized. The transcript has 3 exons. The record is from RefSeq and is a predicted model, not a curated record. NCBI's taxonomy places the organism in Eukaryota, Metazoa, Chordata, Actinopteri, Cypriniformes, Cyprinidae.